RNAcentral lists this ribosomal RNA (1367 nucleotides) under Salmonella enterica. RNAcentral's name for it is "partial 23S ribosomal RNA". It matches the Rfam family "Bacterial large subunit ribosomal RNA", at positions 1594 to 2925 of the family's 2925-position model. The record is from RNAcentral. Lineage: Bacteria; Pseudomonadati; Pseudomonadota; Gammaproteobacteria; Enterobacterales; Enterobacteriaceae.
CAAAUGCCCUGCUUCCAGGAAAAGCCUCUAAGCAUCAGGUAACACGAAAUCGUACCCCAAACCGACACAGGUGGUCAGGUAGAGAAUACCAAGGCGCUUGAGAGAACUCGGGUGAAGGAACUAGGCAAAAUGGUGCCGUAACUUCGGGAGAAGGCACGCUGACACGUAGGUGAAGUGAUUUACUCAUGGAGCUGAAGUCAGUCGAAGAUACCAGCUGGCUGCAACUGUUUAUUAAAAACACAGCACUGUGCAAACACGAAAGUGGACGUAUACGGUGUGACGCCUGCCCGGUGCCGGAAGGUUAAUUGAUGGGGUCAGCGUAAGCGAAGCUCCUGAUCGAAGCCCCGGUAAACGGCGGCCGUAACUAUAACGGUCCUAAGGUAGCGAAAUUCCUUGUCGGGUAAGUUCCGACCUGCACGAAUGGCGUAAUGAUGGCCAGGCUGUCUCCACCCGAGACUCAGUGAAAUUGAACUCGCUGUGAAGAUGCAGUGUACCCGCGGCAAGACGGAAAGACCCCGUGAACCUUUACUAUAGCUUGACACUGAACAUUGAGCCUUGAUGUGUAGGAUAGGUGGGAGGCUUUGAAGUGUGGACGCCAGUCUGCAUGGAGCCGACCUUGAAAUACCACCCUUUAAUGUUUGAUGUUCUAACGUGGACCCGUAAUCCGGGUUGCGGACAGUGUCUGGUGGGUAGUUUGACUGGGGCGGUCUCCUCCUAAAGAGUAACGGAGGAGCACGAAGGUUGGCUAAUCCUGGUCGGACAUCAGGAGGUUAGUGCAAUGGCAUAAGCCAGCUUGACUGCGAGCGUGACGGCGCGAGCAGGUGCGAAAGCAGGUCAUAGUGAUCCGGUGGUUCUGAAUGGAAGGGCCAUCGCUCAACGGAUAAAAGGUACUCCGGGGAUAACAGGCUGAUACCGCCCAAGAGUUCAUAUCGACGGCGGUGUUUGGCACCUCGAUGUCGGCUCAUCACAUCCUGGGGCUGAAGUAGGUCCCAAGGGUAUGGCUGUUCGCCAUUUAAAGUGGUACGCGAGCUGGGUUUAGAACGUCGUGAGACAGUUCGGUCCCUAUCUGCCGUGGGCGCUGGAGAACUGAGGGGGGCUGCUCCUAGUACGAGAGGACCGGAGUGGACGCAUCACUGGUGUUCGGGUUGUCAUGCCAAUGGCACUGCCCGGUAGCUAAAUGCGGAAGAGAUAAGUGCUGAAAGCAUCUAAGCACGAAACUUGCCCCGAGAUGAGUUCUCCCUGAGACUUAGAGUCUCCUGAAGGAACGUUGAAGACGACGACGUUGAUAGGCCGGGUGUGUAAGCGCAGCGAUGCGUUGAGCUAACCGGUACUAAUGAACCGUGAGGCUUAACCUUACAACGCCGAAG